This 268-nucleotide signal recognition particle RNA is filed under the name Clostridium sp. Its description in RNAcentral is "signal recognition particle sRNA large type". It matches the Rfam family "Bacterial large signal recognition particle RNA". Rfam says of the family: The signal recognition particle (SRP) is a universally conserved ribonucleoprotein involved in the co-translational targeting of proteins to membranes. Archaeal SRP consists of a 7S RNA and homologues of the eukaryotic SRP19 and SRP54 proteins. RNAcentral also lists the same sequence under 3 other names. Lineage: Bacteria; Bacillati; Bacillota; Clostridia; Eubacteriales; Clostridiaceae. The record is from RNAcentral.
CCGCGCUAAGCGGGGAGAUAGCGGUGCCCUAUACCUGCAAUCCGCUACAGCAGGGCUGAAUCCCCGUUUUGAGGCUCACCCCUGUGGGGCCGCCGCCAUCGUGGGGCGUCGAUCCCCGGGUCCCGUGCAACUUGCCACUGUGAACCAUGUCAGGGCCGGAAGGCAGCAGCAUUAAGCGGAAGCGCAGGUGUGCCGCGGGCAUGCCCGGGAGUAGCAACCUGAUGGCGAAAACGCCCAUGGGACGUGAAGUCGAGAUUCGGGUGCGCGG